AUGCAGAAUAUGAUCUUAUUAGAAUACCCAAAAAGAGUUAUAUUUAGGAACGGAGGAAGUAGUAUAUUUGCAGGCCAAGAUGUUGCAUUUUUUUUCCUAAGAAUUCUUGUCCCAUCCCAUGAAUAUGGAGAAUCGAUAAAAACAUGCAUUUUUAUUUGCUUACUACAAAUAAAUUGGAAUAAAUUAUUCCUUUAUUUUGGGAGAUGGCCUCUUGGAGGUAGACAACCAGUAGUAUCAGUUGUUGAUAUAUUCGUGGGAUACUAUGUGAAGAUACGUGCAAAUUUUUCGUUUUUCUUUUCUUUCACUGAGACCUAG
This 315-nucleotide ribosomal RNA is filed under the name Triticum aestivum (bread wheat). RNAcentral describes it as "partial small subunit ribosomal RNA". Lineage: Eukaryota; Viridiplantae; Streptophyta; Magnoliopsida; Poales; Poaceae. The record is from RNAcentral.